CAAUGUAAAGGGCAAUGGAAUCGGAUGGUUGUUGUUCAGUAGCAUUGAUGUGUUGGAAAAUGACAAAGAAAGGUUCAAGUAACCAAGGCCACAUGUUGAGGAGAGAAUUCUCAUACCCUGAAUGGAUUACUGAACACACAGGCUGAGUAUCUUCUGAUGGUCACAGCCAUCCAAUGUCUCGCUUCGCUGUUGUGACUGGAGCGGAAUCACAUGGGGGCCAGGAUCUCUUGGAAACUGCCAACCUGGAGAAAUGUUUCUGACUUCCCUUCUGGCCUGGACAAAUCACAAAG
Molecule: long non-coding RNA, 290 nt
Organism: Fukomys damarensis (Damara mole-rat)
Lineage: Eukaryota; Metazoa; Chordata; Mammalia; Rodentia; Bathyergidae
Exons: 3
Source: RefSeq, a predicted model, not a curated record